RNAcentral lists this ribosomal RNA (441 nucleotides) under uncultured bacterium. RNAcentral's name for it is "partial 16S ribosomal RNA". It matches the Rfam family "Bacterial small subunit ribosomal RNA", at positions 338 to 795 of the family's 1533-position model. The record is from RNAcentral.
CCUACGGGUGGCAGCAGUGGGGAAUAUUGCACAAUGGGGGGAACCCUGAUGCAGCGACGCCGCGUGAGUGAAGAAGUAUUUCGGUAUGUACAGCUCUAUCAGCAGGGACGAGACAAGACGGUACCUGACUAAGAAGCCCCGGCUAACUACGUGCCAGCAGCCGCGGUAAUACGUAGGGGGCAAGCGUUAUCCGGAAUUACUGGGUGUAAAGGGAGCGUAGACGGCUGAGCAAGCCUGAAGUGAAAGGCGGGGGCCCAACCCUGGAACUGCUUUUGGAACUGUACGGCUAGAGUGCAGGAGAGGUAAGUGGAAUUCCUAGUGUAGCGGUGAAAUGCGUAGAUAUUAGGAGGAACACCAGUGGCGAAGGCGGCUUACUGGACUGUAACUGACGUUGAGGCUCGAAAGCGUGGGGAGCAAACAGGAUUAGAUACCCGAGUAGUC